Small nucleolar RNA from Rattus rattus (black rat), 127 nucleotides. RefSeq annotates it as small nucleolar RNA SNORA17. The transcript has a single exon. The record is from RefSeq and is a predicted model, not a curated record. Lineage: Eukaryota; Metazoa; Chordata; Mammalia; Rodentia; Muridae.
AUAGCCAAUAAUAAAACAAUAGUUUCUGCUGUGUCCCUUGUGUGUCAGUAGGUGGCAGAGAGGAGAGAAUCUAUGUCUACCCUCAGUUCUGAGCUUUGUACAUCUGAAUGAUUAGUAGCCUAACAUU